GAUGAACGCUGGCGGCGUGCCUAAUACAUGCAAGUCGAGCGAACAGAUGAGAAGCUUGCUUCUCUGAUGUUAGCGGCGGACGGGUGAGUAACACGUGGGUAACCUACCUAUAAGACUGGGAUAACUCCGGGAAACCGGGGCUAAUACCGGAUAAUAUUUUGAACCGCAUGGUUCAAUAGUGAAAGACGGUUUCGGCUGUCACUUAUAGAUGGACCCGCGCCGUAUUGGCUAGUUGGUAAGGUAACGGCUUACCAAGGCGAGGAUACGUAGCCGGCCGGAGAGGGUGAUCAGCCACACUGGAACUGAGACACGGUCCAGACUCCUAAGGGAGGCAGCAGUAGGGAAUCUUCCGCAAUGGGCGAAAGCCUGACGGAGCAACGCCGCGUGAGUGAUGAAGGUCUUCGGAUCGUAAAACUCUGUUGUUAGGGAAGAACAAAUUUGUUAGUAACUGAACAAGUCUUGACGGUACCUAACCAGAAAGCCACGGCUAACUACGUGCCAGCAGCCGCAGUAA
RNAcentral lists this ribosomal RNA (514 nucleotides) under uncultured bacterium. Its description in RNAcentral is "partial 16S ribosomal RNA". It matches the Rfam family "Bacterial small subunit ribosomal RNA", at positions 28 to 523 of the family's 1533-position model. The record is from RNAcentral.